UCGAGGAUCUUCGGCAAUGGACGAAAGUCUGACCGAGCAACGCCGCGUGCGGGAUGAAGGCCUUCGGGUUGUAAACCGCUUUCAGCAGGGACGAAACUGACGGUACCUGCAGAAGAAGCCCCGGCCAACUACGUGCCAGCAGCCGCGGUAACACGUAGGGGGCGAGCGUUGUCCGGAUUUAUUGGGUGUAAAGGGCGUGUAGGCGGGACUUUAAGUCAGAUGUGAAAUUCCCAGGCUCAACCUGGGCGC
Molecule: ribosomal RNA, 249 nt
Filed under: uncultured organism
Description: partial 16S ribosomal RNA
Rfam family: Bacterial small subunit ribosomal RNA
Source: RNAcentral